CGCUGAAGGCAUCUAAGCGUGAAGCCAACCUCAAGAUGAGAUAUCUCUUAAGACCCCUUGAAGACUACAAGGUUGAUAGGCUCUGGGUGUAAGCAUGGUAACAUGCUCAGCUGAGGAGUACUAAUAGGUCGUGAGCUUUUCCUAA
RNAcentral lists this ribosomal RNA (145 nucleotides) under Eubacterium sp. RNAcentral's name for it is "partial 23S ribosomal RNA". It matches the Rfam family "Bacterial large subunit ribosomal RNA", at positions 2769 to 2925 of the family's 2925-position model. The record is from RNAcentral. Lineage: Bacteria; Bacillati; Bacillota; Clostridia; Eubacteriales; Eubacteriaceae.